UAAAAUCAAUCCGUACUUAAUUUACACAUGCAAGUCUCAGCACCCCCGUGAGAACGCCCUAAACCCCCUGCUCGGGACAAGGAGCUGGUAUCAGGCACAUUAUUCAACCCAUGACACCUAGCUAUGCCACAUCCUCAAGGAAUUUCAGCAGUGAUCAAUAUUGAAAAUACGCGUCAGCAAGAUUCAGUUAAAGUACAGAGAGCCGGCAAAAUUGGUGCCAGCCGCCGCGGUUAUACCAAUAGACUCAAAUUGAUCAUAUCGGCGUAAAGCGUGAUUAAAGUUUUCCCCCCCCCAUUAAAAAUAGAACCCUCACUAAGCUGUGACACGCUUGUGCUUGAGAAAAUCAAAAACGUAAGUUAUUUUAAUU
Molecule: ribosomal RNA, 367 nt
Filed under: Pithecopus hypochondrialis (orange-legged leaf frog)
Lineage: Eukaryota; Metazoa; Chordata; Amphibia; Anura; Hylidae
Description: Phyllomedusa hypochondrialis (orange-legged leaf frog) partial 12S ribosomal RNA
Source: RNAcentral